AUAAUUGCGAUGAAGAGGACAAGUAAAUUAGAAUCUAUUUUGCUAGAGAGUAAGGUCACCGGCUGAAAGCCUUAUAAAAUAAUCUAUUUGAAAAACUACCUCGGAGCGGAACUUAUUAGCAUUAGAUGUGAAAGUGUUCGGUUGACAACCUUAUAGUCAUCAAGAGGAUUUGUUUAUUAUAUAAAUAAAUCAACUUGGGUGGAACCACGAUAUAACACUCGUCCCAACU
RNAcentral lists this non-coding RNA (229 nucleotides) under Intestinibacter bartlettii. RNAcentral describes it as "Clostridium bartlettii T-box sequence". It matches the Rfam family "T-box leader". From Rfam's summary of the family: Uncharged tRNA acts as the effector for transcription antitermination of genes in the T-box leader family. T-boxes are found upstream of many aminoacyl-tRNA synthetase genes and some amino acid biosynthetic genes usually in Gram-positive bacteria. The record is from RNAcentral. Lineage: Bacteria; Bacillati; Bacillota; Clostridia; Peptostreptococcales; Peptostreptococcaceae.